Molecule: ribosomal RNA, 483 nt
Filed under: uncultured bacterium
Lineage: Bacteria
Description: SSU rRNA
Rfam family: Bacterial small subunit ribosomal RNA
Source: RNAcentral
AGGACGAACGCUGACGGCGUGCCUAACACAUGCAAGUCGAACGAGGUCCAACCGGUGGCAACACUGGUGAAGACCGAGUGGCGAACGGGUGAGUAACACGUGAGCAACCUGCCUCGAAGACUGGGAUAACCCCGGGAAACCGGAGCUAAUACCGGAUACCCCCACCGGGUCGCAUGGCCUGGUGAGGAAAUGGAUUCCGCUUUGAGAGGGGCUCGCGGCCUAUCAGCUUGAUGGUGGGGUAAUGGCCUACCAUGGCACCGACGGGUAGCUGGUCUGAGAGGACGAUCAGCCACACUGGGACUGAGACACGGCCCAGACUCCUACGGGAGGCAGCAGUGGGGAAUCUUGCGCAAUGGGCGAAAGCCUGACGCAGCAACGCCGCGUGUGGGACGAAGGCCUUCUGGGUUGUAAACCACUUUUCAGCAGGGACGAUUGUGACGGUACCUGCAGAAGAAGCCCGGCCAACUACGUGCCAGCAGCCGC